AGCUCCAAAAGUGUAUAUUUAAGUUGUUGCGGUUAAAAAGCUCGUAGUUGGAUUUUGGGCGCAGGCGGCCGGUCCGUCGCAAGGCGUGCACUGGCUGCACCUGGCCCUCAACCCCGGCGCUCCGCCGGUGCUCUUGACUGAGUGUCGGCGGCGGCCGGGACGUUUACUUUGAAAAAAUUAGAGUGUUCAAAGCAGGCGGUUCGCCUGAAUAAUGGUGCAUGGAAUAAUGGAAUAGGACCUCGGUUCUAUUUUGUUGGUUUUCGGAGCGCGAGGUAAUGAUUAAGAGGGACGGACGGGGGCAUUCGUACUGUGCCGUUAGAGGUGAAAUUCUUGGAUCGGCGCAAGACGAACGACUGCGAAAGCAUUUGCCAAGAAUGUUUUCU
RNAcentral lists this ribosomal RNA (383 nucleotides) under marine Metazoa environmental sample. RNAcentral's name for it is "SSU rRNA". It matches the Rfam family "Eukaryotic small subunit ribosomal RNA", at positions 587 to 972 of the family's 1831-position model. Lineage: Eukaryota; Metazoa. The record is from RNAcentral.